RNAcentral lists this long non-coding RNA (2065 nucleotides) under Homo sapiens (human). Its description in RNAcentral is "HSALNT0219302". The record is from RNAcentral. Lineage: Eukaryota; Metazoa; Chordata; Mammalia; Primates; Hominidae.
GAGAUGAGCUCCAGCAGCCGCAGGAGGUGGAUGCCGUCAGCCAGCUCUGUGUACAGGUUCCGGAUCUUGAUGCCCGCCUGGGGAGGGGACAGGGACCCUCAGCCCAUGGAGUCCUGUGUGAUGUUGUGAGCGUGGGAGGACAGACUGAACUGCUCGGCCCGUGGAGUCCUGUGUGAUGUUGUGAGCGGGGAGGACAGACUGAACUGCGUGGUGCUUCGCACAUAGACCUCAACAGGGAUUGGCAUUUUGAAGCUGUUGGCGGGGGCUGUGGACUGCUUUUCUUCCUUUCUAGCUCAACGGCAGCUAAAGCCACUGCAUACAAUGCAAGGACUGGCUCCUGUUUGGCCACGACUGAUUGCAGCCCCUGGUGAAAUGAGAACCCUGUGGGUCGGAACAAAGUUUGGAUUAUUUAUGUUGCAAAGACAGGGUCUUCUUAGGUUGCCCAGGCUGGUCUUGAACUCCUGGCCUCAACGAUCUUCCCACUUCAGCCUCCUGCAUUGCUGGGAUUAUAGGUGUGAGCCACCAUGCCUGGCUUACACAGUAUAAAGGGAAUGCAUUGGCCCACACAGUGGAAAAAAAUAUCUAGUAGGAAUAGGAAGGACUUCAGGUGAGGUUUGAUCCAGCAGCUCAAAUGUUGUCACCACAGGCCUGGAUUCCUCUGGCCUUUCUCAAGGUCUCUUUCAUUUUCAUGCUCCACAAGAUGGCUUCUGCCAGGCUGACCUCCCUCCCCUGACCCCAGCAGCUCUGGACACCCCUCUCAGUGCCAUUUAUAUUGUUGCAUCAAUAGGCUCAUUUCUAUAUACUGCAAGGUUCAGAGAAGACAGAGUAUCUCUCUCAAGAGUUCUAACAUAAGUCUGGGGGUCCUGGCUCUCAUAGGCUUGAACAGGGCCACAUGUCCAUUCCUGAGCCAAUAUUUGUGACCAAGGGGAUGUGGUCAAUCUCAUCCAAACCUCACUUGAAGUGAGGGUGGGAGGAGGAGUGCUCUGCAAGGAGACUGUAGGUCUGGACCACCAAAAAGGUAGAUGGGUUGGUGGGAAAAGCCAGAUGCCUACUAUGGUAGUGGGCGGGGGGAGGGCACACUGGCAAGGUACAGCAAGAGGCAGGGGCAGUGCUGGACAGGCAGGGGCUCCUCCCUAGCACGACUGGAGAAAGGACUCCUGUGAAGCGGUCACCUCCAUGAGUCCCUCCUGUCCUGGCUUCCAACCACUCUGAAGUGGGGCUUUUGUCCACAGACCUGGCCUCUGCUGCCUACCCUCUUCUGUCCCCACCUGAUGGGGCCGCUUUCCUUCUGAAGCGGCUGCAUUUUGGGUUUCUCUCCACAGGAAGAGUUGGGGCUCACAGGCACACCCUCUCCCUAACUCUUCUCCCCCGGUUCAACCUGGAUCCAGGGAUCCACACUCUGCUCCGAGAGGCCAGCACGCAGCCACUGGAAAAUGAGCCAGUGGGAGAGGGCAGCUCCAUGUUUAUUGAUCAGCAGACUAUGUCUUUUUGUUUGAAACUUCUAAAUAAGAUUACAAAAAGAAAAAAAAUAGAAGCAUUGCGUAUUAACUGCAUUGGUUAACCAACAUUGGAACCCAAUACUCUUGUAUUAGGCCCGCAUUUACCUGAGUAAACUCAGUGGUUUUCUGUCCUAAGCAUGCUUGCCUGCUACAUCCCAUGGAGAAAAUAAACAGUGAAACACUUUCCUCAUCUUCAAGGCAAUUGUCUCAGGCAUCCUCCAGGCAUCAUGAAGGAGGGUGAGCGAGGGUGCGAGGUGGAAAGGUCCAGGCCGCGGCUGUGACUCCCGCGGGUGAACCACAGCUCCACAGCCCCAAAUCCAAAGAUGCUCUUGCUGCAGCACGACAAGUGUUCAAAAGAGAACCAGGCCCAGCCCGGAGAAAGGAAAGCCAAAAGCCAACUGAAUGAAUGACCCUCCCCCAGAAGAGCAACCCUGCCCCCAGGCCAUCCAAGUGCGGUGAGUUGAGAAAUGAAUUGACAGACGCUGCAGGGCUGGAGCAGGAGGCGGAAGCAGGUUGGAAGGCUGUUGUGUGCCACCCCUCCCUGGGAGCUGGGGAGAUUCCCAAGU